This 568-nucleotide small RNA is filed under the name Arabidopsis thaliana (thale cress). RNAcentral's name for it is "ATSL092320". The record is from RNAcentral. Lineage: Eukaryota; Viridiplantae; Streptophyta; Magnoliopsida; Brassicales; Brassicaceae.
AUACCUCUUUGAUGGUGAAAGACCCAGACCACCUGGAUUUUAGCUUUAAUGGAAAUAACUUGAGUCUUGAGUUGAAAAGCAGAACUUGGUCUCCAAUGUUGAAAUCUUUUGGUGAGAUCUUUUUGUCAUGAAAAGCUUUUGUUAUUUCUUUGUAGAUUUUUGAAUUCUCAUAUGCUUCCUGCCUAAUGCCUAAUCUCUUCCAGUUCAUGCAGGUCGAUUGGUCUUUUUUCUUGAGCUCCCUUGAUUUCCAAAUUCAAAAGUUUGGUUGCCCAAAUGGCUUUAUAUUCCACUUCAACUGGUAGAUGACAAGAUUUCCCAUAUAGCAUCUGGAAUGGGGUUCUCCCAAUAGGCGUUUUGUAUGCGGUUCUAUAGGCCCAUAAAGUCUCAUCAAGUUUAGUUGACCAAUCCCUUUUUGAGACACCAACAACUUUUGUGAGUAUAUCCUUCAUCUGUCUGUUUGAUACUUCCACUUGGCCACUGGUCUGAGGGUGAUACGGAGUGGCAACCUUAUGUUUAACCUCAAGUUUUCUCAAUAGACCUUCAAAGACUUUGUUUAUGAAAUGUGAGC